RNAcentral lists this ribosomal RNA (433 nucleotides) under uncultured bacterium. Its description in RNAcentral is "partial 16S ribosomal RNA". It matches the Rfam family "Bacterial small subunit ribosomal RNA", at positions 29 to 507 of the family's 1533-position model. The record is from RNAcentral.
AACGAACGCUGGCGGCAUGCCUAACACAUGCAAGUCGAACGAGACCUUCGGGUCUAGUGGCGCACGGGUGCGUAACGCGUGGGAACCUGCCCUUAGGUUCGGAAUAACUCUCCGAAAGGGGUGCUAAUACCGGAUAAUGUCUUCGGACCAAAGAUUUAUCGCCCUUGGAUGGGCCCGCGUUGGAUUAGCUGGUUGGUAGGGUAAAAGCCUACCAAGGCGACGAUCCAUAGCUGGUCUGAGAGGAUGAUCAGCCACACUGGGACUGAGACACGGCCGGGACUCUUACGGGAGGCAGCAGAGGGGAAUAUAGGAAAGUGGCGGAAGGCCUGAUCCAGCAAUGCCGCGUGAGUGAUGAAGGCCUUAGGGUUGUAAAGCUCUUUUACCCGGGAUGAUAAUGACGGUACCGGGAGAAUAAGCUCCGGCUAACUCCGUG